GAGGAAAAGAAACCAACAGGGAUUGCCUCAGUAACUGCGAGUGAAGUGGCAAAAGCUCAAAAUUGAAAUCCGGUGCCUUUGGUGCCUGAGUUGUAAUUUGGAGAGACAAAUUUGGUUGGCGGCGCCGGCCUAGGUUCCUUUGAACAGGACAACGUAGAGGGUGAGAAUCCCGUGCCUGGCUGGAUGACCGUCUCGCUUCUAAAUUGUCUUCGACGAGUCGAGUUGUUUGGGAAUGCAGCUCAAAAUGGGUGGUAAAUGUCAUCUAAAGCUAAAUAUUGGCGAGAGACCGAUAGCGCACAAGUAGAGUGAUCGAAAGAUGAAAAGCACUUUGAAAAGAGAGUCAAAAAGUACGUGAAAUUGCUGAAAGGGAAGCGCUUGAGACCAGACUCGAACCGUGGUGAUCAGCCGCGCUUCUGCGCGGUGCCACUUGCCACGGUUUGGGCCAGCAUCGGUUCUGGCGGUCGGAUAAAAGGUGGAGGAAUGUAGCUUCCUUCGGGGAGUGUUAUCAGCCCCCACCACAAUGCGGCCAGCCGGGACCGAGGACCGCGCGGACUUCUGCUAGGAUGCUGGCGUAAUGGUCUUAAGCGACCCGUCUUGAAACACGGACCAAGGAGUCUAACAUCUAUGCGAGUGUUCGGGUGGAAAACCCUUGCGCG
This 656-nucleotide ribosomal RNA is filed under the name Genea pseudobalsleyi. Its description in RNAcentral is "partial large subunit ribosomal RNA". It matches the Rfam family "Eukaryotic large subunit ribosomal RNA", at positions 53 to 716 of the family's 3401-position model. Lineage: Eukaryota; Fungi; Ascomycota; Pezizomycetes; Pezizales; Pyronemataceae. The record is from RNAcentral.